AAAACUAGAAGAGAAUGCAGCUCAGGAGAGAAGCAAAAACCAGCACUGUCUGGAAGGUAUGACGUGUAAAAGAAGUGCUCAGAGGAUCAUCAAAAAAAGGAAACUUAGAAAAUGGAAACUUCUUGGUAGCUGGCAAAAACUUGGUGAACUCAUUACAAGUAGACCUGUUCUAUGGAAAAAAAUGUUAAAGUUCUUCAGACAGAAUAUAAUACCAGAUUAAAGAAUCUUGGACCUACUUGAAGAAAUGAAGAGCACUGGAAAUGGCAUUAAUGAAGGGACAUAGAUGAAUCUGGAAACCAUCUUUCUCAGCAAACUGACACAAGAACAGAAGACCAAACACCACAUGUUCUUGCUCAUAGGGAAAUCUCAAGCAGUUUCAUCCAGCAAAUAUACAAGCCUUUUGUGCCUUGAACCCCAAUGCGUAAAGACAUUCACAAACAUCCUGGAAUUGGUGCUGGCUUUCAGCCGGCCUUGUCCUUUCACCAGUUUUAAGAGUUAGGUGAUGCGCCACAUUGUUCUGAGGCAAAGGUUAUCUUCCCUGCCUGGGAUUCCAUCCAGAAACAAAUAAAAAACCAAGGAACCUGC
RNAcentral lists this long non-coding RNA (585 nucleotides) under Callithrix jacchus (white-tufted-ear marmoset). RNAcentral describes it as "lncRNA (ENSCJAG00000081919.1)". Lineage: Eukaryota; Metazoa; Chordata; Mammalia; Primates; Cebidae. The record is from RNAcentral.